This 770-nucleotide ribosomal RNA is filed under the name uncultured bacterium. RNAcentral's name for it is "bacterial SSU rRNA". It matches the Rfam family "Bacterial small subunit ribosomal RNA", at positions 8 to 795 of the family's 1533-position model. The record is from RNAcentral.
AGAGUUUGAUCCUGGCUCAGGACGAACGCUGGCGGCGUGCUUAACACAUGCAAGUCGAACGGAAAGGCCCUUCGGGGUACUCGAGUGGCGAACGGGUGAGUAACACGUGGGUGAUCUGCCCUGCACUUUGGGAUAAGCCUGGGAAACUGGGUCUAAUACCGAAUAUGACCACGCUCUUCAUGGGGUGUGGUGGAAAGCUUUUGCGGUGUGGGAUGGGCCCGCGGCCUACCAGCUUGUUGGUGGGGUAAUGGCCUACCAAGGCGACGACGGGUAGCCGGCCUGAGAGGGUGACCGGCCACACUGGGACUGAGAUACGGCCCAGACUCCUACGGGAGGCAGCAGUGGGGAAUAUUGCACAAUGGGCGCAAGCCUGAUGCAGCGACGCCGCGUGAGGGAUGACGGCCUUCGGGUUGUAAACCUCUUUCACCAGGGACGAAGCGCAAGUGACGGUACCUGGAGAAGAAGCACCGGCCAACUACGUGCCAGCAGCCGCGGUAAUACGUAGGGUGCGAGCGUUGUCCGGAAUUACUGGGCGUAAAGAGCUCGUAGGUGGUUUGUCGCGUUGUUCGUGAAAACUCACAGCUUAACUGUGGGCGUGCGGGCGAUACGGGCAGACUAGAGUACUGCAGGGGAGACUGGAAUUCCUGGUGUAGCGGUGGAAUGCGCAGAUAUCAGGAGGAACACCGGUGGCGAAGGCGGGUCUCUGGGCAGUAACUGACGCUGAGGAGCGAAAGCGUGGGGAGCGAACAGGAUUAGAUACCCUGGUAGUC